RNAcentral lists this ribosomal RNA (590 nucleotides) under uncultured fungus. Its description in RNAcentral is "eukaryotic LSU rRNA". The stretch from base 210 to 363 matches the Rfam family "5.8S ribosomal RNA". Lineage: Eukaryota; Fungi. The record is from RNAcentral.
UCCGUAGGUGAACCUGCGGAAGGAUCAUUAUCGAGUUAGGGUCUCUUAGGCCCGACCUCCAACCCUAUGUUUAUUCUACCCUGUUGCUUUGGCGGGCCCGCCUUAUAGGGGCCGUCGGGGGUUGUCUGACCCCUGAUCAGUGCCCGCCAGUGGCCUUCAAAAACUCUUGUAUAACUAUGUUGUCUGAGUCCUAAUUAAAAUCGUUAAAAAACUUUCAACAACGGAUCUCUUGGUUCUGGCAUCGAUGAAGAACGCAGCGAAAUGCGAUAAGUAAUGCGAAUUGCAGAAUUCAGUGAGUCAUCGAAUCUUUGAACGCAUAUUGCGCCCUUUGGCAUUCCGAAGGGCAUGCCUGUUCGAGCGUCAUUAUCAACCAUCAAGCACGGCUUGUCGUUGGACUCUUUUGUCGCUGCAACACGCGGCAGGUCCGAAAGAUAAUGACGGGUGUCGUGUUGGACCCUCGAUGCAACGAGCUCUUCGUAGCACGCAUUGAACGUGGUCUACCGCCCCGGUCUAUACCUCUAUUUUCUUCAGGUUGACCUCGGAUCAGGUAGGAAUACCCGCUGAACUUAAGCAUAUCAAUAAGCGGAGGA